This 468-nucleotide ribosomal RNA is filed under the name uncultured bacterium. RNAcentral's name for it is "partial 16S ribosomal RNA". It matches the Rfam family "Bacterial small subunit ribosomal RNA", at positions 28 to 507 of the family's 1533-position model. The record is from RNAcentral.
GACGAACGCUGGCGGCGUGCUUAACACAUGCAAGUCGAACGGAAAGGCCCUGCUUUUGUGGGGUGCUCGAGUGGCGAACGGGUGAGUAACACGUGAGUAACCUGCCCUUGACUUUGGGAUAACUUCAGGAAACUGGGGCUAAUACCGGAUAGGAGCUCCUGCUGCAUGGUGGGGGUUGGAAAGUUUCGGCGGUUGGGGAUGGACUCGCGGCUUAUCGGCUUGUUGGUGGGGUAGUGGCUUACCAAGGCUUUGACGGGUAGCCGGCCUGAGAGGGUGACCGGCCACAUUGGGACUGAGAUACGGCCCAGACUCCUACGGGAGGCAGCAGUGGGGAAUAUUGCACAAUGGGCGGAAGCCUGACGCAGCAACGCCGCGUGCGGGAUGACGGCCUUCGGGUUGUAAACCGCUUUCGCCUGUGACGAAGCGUGAGUGACGGUAAUGGGUAAAGAAGCACCGGCUAACUACGUG